AACUCUCAACCUCUGACUUUCUUAAUCGUCGGUCAGCGGCUUGGAUGUGGGCGCUGCCGGUCUUAAUUGAUCGGCUCGCCUGAAAAACAUUAGCGAAUCCCUUCUGUAAUCGGUUCCACUCGACGUGAUAAGUAUUUCGUCGAGGACAUCUUUAUUGAUGGCCGAGAUAAAGCUGGUUUAAGAUCUGCUUCUAACUCUUUCGUUGCCUUCUGGUAAAGAAAACCCCUCAUG
RNAcentral lists this unclassified non-coding RNA (231 nucleotides) under Itersonilia pannonica. RNAcentral's name for it is "partial internal transcribed spacer 2". RNAcentral also lists the same sequence under 1 other name. Lineage: Eukaryota; Fungi; Basidiomycota; Tremellomycetes; Cystofilobasidiales; Mrakiaceae. The record is from RNAcentral.